CCUACGGGAGGCAGCAGUGGGGAAUAUUGCACAAUGGGCGCAAGCCUGAUGCAGCCAUGCCGCGUGUGUGAAGAAGGCCUUCGGGUUGUAAAGCACUUUCAGCGGGGAGGAAGGCGGUGAGGUUAAUAACCUCAUCGAUUGACGUUACCCGCAGAAGAAGCACCGGCUAACUCCGUGCCAGCAGCCGCGGUAAUACGGAGGGUGCAAGCGUGAAUCGGAAUUACUGGGCGUAAAGCGCACGCAGGCGGUCUGUCAAGUCGGAUGUGAAAUCCCCGGGCUCAACCUGGGAACUGCAUUCGAAACUGGCAGGCUAGAGUCUUGUAGAGGGGGGUAGAAUUCCAGGUGUAGCGGUGAAAUGCGUAGAGAUCUGGAGGAAUACCGGUGGCGAAGGCGGCCCCCUGGACAAAGACUGACGCUCAGGUGCGAAAGCGUGGGGAGCAAACAGGAUUAGAUACCCUAGUAGUC
Molecule: ribosomal RNA, 465 nt
Filed under: uncultured Klebsiella sp.
Lineage: Bacteria; Pseudomonadati; Pseudomonadota; Gammaproteobacteria; Enterobacterales; Enterobacteriaceae
Description: bacterial SSU rRNA
Rfam family: Bacterial small subunit ribosomal RNA
Source: RNAcentral